This is a long non-coding RNA of Peromyscus eremicus (cactus mouse), 2104 nucleotides long. RefSeq lists it as uncharacterized. The transcript is spliced from 3 exons. Lineage: Eukaryota; Metazoa; Chordata; Mammalia; Rodentia; Cricetidae. The record is from RefSeq and is a predicted model, not a curated record.
AUCCUGUGUAAGGCUGUCGUCCCCACGGCUGAGUUACCUACCUGUGUGGCAGCUGUGCAGCCAGACCCGCUGCCCAUCAUACUUGCAGCGGCAGCGCAACAUGUUGUUGGAGAAAUCCGACUCUGCCACAUCGUUUGUGGGGUUCACGACCACCUGCGGCGAAGGGCACAACCAAGUGGGCGGUGUGGUUUCCGAGUGAGUUGACAUGUAGGGUUCUUUACACCUCACCUAGUACUUUACAAAGUAGUCUUUCUGUGCCCUGAUUUGCUGAUCCUUAGUCAGCCCAGGAAGUACACAUCAGCGCGCCUUUUCACAGAUGAAGACUAGGAACUGCCCAGUGUCCACUGACUAGGGACUCAAGCCCAGAGCUUUGGGAUCCCUGUGAGGGCUCUUCCUCUACAACACAGCUCCUAAAAGGGAUAGGGCUCCUGGAUCCCAUGGGAAAUCACCUUCCUCUGACCCCAGAGCAUCUGUAACUGCUGGAAAUCGUCCUUACCUGGAAGAUAUAGUCCCCUGGCCGAACAUCUGUGAUAUCCACCCACUGGCAAUCGAUGUCAUGGCGAUAUGUGUCCCAGCAACCUACAGCCACCCCCUGUUCCCCAAAGUUGGCACAUGCAUAACGCCGCUGCACUCCUGUAAAGGAGAGUACACAGUUACCAUGGCAUCAAGAGGGCAUUGUGACCGGGCACUGUGUGGUCCUUCAUAGGCUUCAGCAGUUAGUCUUCAAACUGGCUUUAGCAGCUCUGUUCUGCCCAGCACAUGAGUUUGGGGCCUAUGGUUCAGUUAAAUGACUUGCCCAAAUAGAAGAUUCAUGCUGACUGAAUUUGGCAUGGGCAAACUACAUCUGUGACAAGGACAGUGAUAUUUUGGAUGCACUAGUAAAAAUCCCUGUUGGUCUAAGAAGUGUGGUGGGGAUUCUAGCCUUCUGGUGCUGAUUCUGUCCCCCAGCCCUCAGAAGGUCUGGUUCACCUGGUUACAUCACUAAGGGAUCAGAUUGGGGGUACAAGUAGGAACACAUUCCCUGCCCUCCAAGAGCUGCUGGAAGUGUUAAGCCUCUUUAAGGUGGUACAGAGUGCUGGGGAUUGAGAGGAAAUGAGAGCUUUCCAUUGAAGGUUUCAGAAGGCAGAAAUUGAAGUUUCUGAAUUGCCCUUGAGUGCUACUGCCAAGCUAGACUCUUCAGGAGUAUGGGCUGUUGACCAGGAAAGAGAGGAGCUUGACCCCAAAGGUACUUGAGAUCUGUUGAGAGUGCACUAGGAGGCUAUGUGAAUAGAAACUCACAAACCUGUGGGGCAGUUAGUGUCUUCUAGACAGAAGCUGGCCUUGUGUCCCUCAGCCACUUUGGAGCCAUUGAGUGUGAGCAGGUCAUAAUGGGUGAAGACUUCGAUGCUGUGGUAGUGCCUGAGGAAGAAGCAGAGCUGUCAGCCCCACAGCAACAGGAGUGGGUCACCUGGAGAGGUUAGCAGGGAAGGUUGAGGCCCCGUCAUUACCCAAAGAGGGAAGUUGUAAUAGCAGGGCAGUGCCCUUCUUCCCAAACUCAAGAUUAGCCUGCUCACAGACUUCUUUGCUGGCAUUCCCGUCAGGCAGCAAGGCACGGCUGUCUCCUUUACCUGGAGUCUUAAUUCAGAGCCAAGUGUGGGCAGGAACUAACCUGUGGCACUGGUGCCAAAUCCAGCUGUGGCGUCCAGCCUUGGGACGGAAGUCGGCCCGGCCAAGGUUGUAGAUCUGUGAGGAGAAGCGCAGCAAGCGCCGAUGUCCGUAGGGCCAGUCCAUGUGGUCAGCAGACUUCGAGAGGCAGUUUUCCUCGUGGGCACAAUACAGCAUGCUGAGUGGACGAUCCUCCAAGUAGGCCGUCUCUUGUACCAGCUGGGCAUUCAUCACAAGGUGUCCCCAUGCAUCGUGUUUCUUAGGCAUCAGGGUGUCUCCAGUGCCUCUCUGCAUGCAAAAGUCCAGCCUGAGGUCAGCAAGAUGGCUCAGCCAGUAAAAGUGCAUGCCGUGCAGCCGGGCGACCUGAGUUCAAUCCUUGUAUUCCAAGUGGAAGGAGAGAACUGACUCCCGGAAGUUACAUACAUACACACACAACAAUAAUAAUAACUAAUUUUUAAAA